UGUGUGUGCAAAUGUCAAGUUCAGGG
This 26-nucleotide non-coding RNA is filed under the name Homo sapiens (human). Lineage: Eukaryota; Metazoa; Chordata; Mammalia; Primates; Hominidae. The record is from RNAcentral.